Aethina tumida (small hive beetle) is the source of this 901-nucleotide long non-coding RNA. RefSeq lists it as uncharacterized. The transcript is spliced from 3 exons. The record is from RefSeq and is a predicted model, not a curated record. Lineage: Eukaryota; Metazoa; Arthropoda; Insecta; Coleoptera; Nitidulidae.
UUUUAAAAGACAAAACAAUGGAAGGAAUAAAUAAAUUAAAUAUGCAUAACUGUGGAAAGCAUAUUAUGGAAAUAAACAAAUGCAAAAUUGAUAUUGCAAAAAGAAAACAGAAUCCUGGUCCUGUAAAUUGGGAAGUAGUAGAAAAAUGGAUAGAAUUUAAUAGCUCACCAAAAAAAAAGAUGCUGUGAAUGACGAGGAAGGUAACACGGCAAAGCCUAAGUCCACGUACAGUUAUGAACUUCUACUGAGUUCCUCAUCUGAUGAGUUGAAGUAUGAACUAGAAGACUGUUUUAUUAUCAUUACGCUAUAGUAAAAACGAAGGUGAAAUAGAGUGUAAAAAAGGAGUCAAGGUAUCUUUUCAUUAUUCAAUGAAGGAAUUAGAUUAGGAGCAUAUUGGAAGUGGAUCUCAAAUGUAAUUUUGAGUAUUUAGAGAGAAGACUGGAUAGUAAAAAUAAUUUACGAACCAUACGCUUGCACACAUCCAGUACACGACAGAGCUACUCCCUGAGGUGGAAACGUUUUAAGAGAAACGAAUGGCAGCGCUACAAUAACGAAAUGACUCAGUACUGAUUGACGGCAACAUUUGAUGCCAUUAUGGCUACUUGGAUCAUGCUGUAAAAAUAUUUAACAAUAUUUUAUAUAAAAUAUAUUGACGCAAUCAAUUUAGAACAAAGAUUAUUAAGGAAUAUUGUAUUUCUCUUUAACAGGAUAAGACGUAUUGAGAGACCAAAGAAUUUUAGUGAAGUGAAAAAGAUGAUACUGAAAGAAUGUAUAAAGUUACAUUGGUGCAAUCUAAAUUUUAUUGUAAACUUAAGGUGUCUACUGACUUUUACAGCUACAAAUUGAGAUAUAACAAAAUUAGACAGAAAAAAAGAGAAAAUUGAUUCGUAUAUAACAGAGG